This 548-nucleotide ribosomal RNA is filed under the name uncultured bacterium. RNAcentral's name for it is "partial 16S ribosomal RNA". It matches the Rfam family "Bacterial small subunit ribosomal RNA", at positions 355 to 902 of the family's 1533-position model. The record is from RNAcentral.
UGAGGAAUAUUGGUCAAUGGGCGAGAGCCUGAACCAGCCAAGUCGCGUGAAGGAAGACUGCCUUAUGGGUUGUAAACUUCUUUUAUACAGGAAUAAAAAGGCUUACGUGUAGGCCAUUGCAAGUACUGUAUGAAUAAGCAUCGGCUAACUCCGUGCCAGCAGCCGCGGUAAUACGGAGGAUGCGAGCGUUAUCCGGAUUUAUUGGGUUUAAAGGGUGCGCAGGCGGGCUUUUAAGUCAGCGGUGAAAUCUGGACGCUUAACGUCCAAACUGCCGUUGAAACUGGGAGUCUUGAGUAUGGAUGAAGUAGGCGGAAUUCGUUGUGUAGCGGUGACAUGCAUAGAUAUAACGAGGAACUCCGAUUGCGUAGGCAGCUUACUAAGCCAUAACUGACGCUCAUGCACGAAAGCGUGGGGAUCAAACAGGAUUAGAUACCCUGGUAGUCCACGCCGUAAACGAUGAUUACUAGUUGUAUGCGAUAUGAUAGUAUGUGACUAAGCGAAAGCGAUAAGUAAUCCACCUGGGGAGUACGCCGGCAACGGUGAAACUC